UUUUGAAGUCGAUGCGGGUGGAUGUCGCGCGGAAAUUUUUUGUUGAGAAUUUCGGGUGAAAUUUCGUGUUUGGAUGAAACGCAGUGAGAUAAGUGAGAGUGAGACAGAUAUGCAAAUAAUUAAUUAUUGAGAGUGUGUGUGUGUGUAGUUUUUAUUUUGCGCGGGUCGCGUAUUUGCGGAAAUAAAAGAAAAUACAGAAAAGCCAAAAACGGAGUUAAUCGUAUGGCGGCCAAAUAGUGAAGGAAAAAUGUUGAGUUGAAUGGAAAUAUUUGAGAAAAUCAUAAUAAAAUUCCAAGAAAUACCCAAAAAUGGGGGUGUGAGAGAGUGAGUGUGUCUGUGUGUGAAAUAAAUAAAUAAAUUUCGUUGCGGCGCAAAAAAGAAAGCAACACGGAAAAAGGAAGAAUCGAAUGAAAAGUGCGUAGUUCUUAUUUUGAAAUCGAUACCAAAAAAAAAAGAAAGAAAAAAAAACAAAAGCAACAAAAAAGAAUGCUGAAAGAUUCACACCGAAUAUAUGUAUGUCCUUGAAAUGAGAGAUUUUAUGGCAUUCAUGUGAAAAGCAGGUGAUGAAAACGGCUAAAGUGAAAAAUUAUUGAGAAAAUUCAAUAAAUAUGGCGAAAUGAUAAUCCACAUGGAAGGCAAAUUACUACUAGUCAAGAAGGAAAAGUGAAGUGAAGUGUGUGCAGAGAAAAGGAAUAAGAAAACACGGAAAAGUUUAAAACGUGAAAAAAAAUAUACAUAUUUGACACGAGCAGAGCGGAAAAAGGCUCUCUAACGGUAGAAAAAGGAUAUCUAUCUAUUUGUCUAACAACAAUUGCUAAAAGAAAAGUGCAACAACAACUGCAAAAGGAAGGAGGCAAAAAUACAAAGACAAAGAAAAUAAAACAACUUUAUAGUUGCGAAGCGGGACUCAAAAACAUUAUAACAAAAAGCGCACUCGGUCACAGCAGCAGCAACAACAACAACAAAAGCAUUCCAUCAAACGACAACGACGAUAACAAAAACAAAAAAAAAACACACAGGAAAACAAAAUUAU
Long non-coding RNA from Drosophila willistoni, 1033 nucleotides. RefSeq lists it as uncharacterized. NCBI's taxonomy places the organism in Eukaryota, Metazoa, Arthropoda, Insecta, Diptera, Drosophilidae. The record is from RefSeq and is a predicted model, not a curated record. The transcript is spliced from 3 exons.